Molecule: long non-coding RNA, 620 nt
Filed under: Brachypodium distachyon (stiff brome)
Lineage: Eukaryota; Viridiplantae; Streptophyta; Magnoliopsida; Poales; Poaceae
Description: long non-coding RNA (BDIS_LNC001526)
Source: RNAcentral
CAUCUUAAGGGGGUUAGGUCUGUAACAUCCCAAAAUUUCAAAUUCUUACAUCUGCAAUGCAUCCAUGAGCAUCAUGCCACAAUUGCAUAUUUGAAUUCAAAUUUGAAUCUCAAAAGGCUUUGAAAAUGUUUUAUUUCAAUUUAAACCCUAGGGUUUUCACCCAUUUGAGCUUCGGAUCUUCAAACCAAUAGGGUUUAUUGCAUAAAUAAGCUAUCCCAUAAUUUUUGGAUAAUUAUUUGGAGUUGAAACACUAUUUUUAUUUAAAUAGUUAUAUAGCCCUAAAGGCAAUUAUAGGGAAAAUGUAUUUUGACAUAUUUUAUUUUGAAGGGAAAUUACUCCCAAAAGUUGAAUCAUGAUAAAACAUGAUUUUACAAAUUUUCUGGAAUUUAUUUGGACCAAUUUGGAGUUCAAAAUCAAAAGAUAUCAAAGAAAUGAGAAAAAGGAAAAAAAAUGCUAAAAGAAAAAAAAAGGAAAACCAGACCGGCCCGGCCAAACACACUGCGCGAGCCGAACCGGACCGAGCCGGCCCGGCCAGCCACACGCGCCCGAUACACUGACGGGUGGGACCCACGUGUCAGGGUCGUACCCUACCUUGGGCAAGCGCCCGAAUCAGCGCCGCC